This 114-nucleotide ribosomal RNA is filed under the name uncultured bacterium. RNAcentral's name for it is "partial 16S ribosomal RNA". It matches the Rfam family "Bacterial small subunit ribosomal RNA", at positions 1371 to 1482 of the family's 1533-position model. The record is from RNAcentral.
UUCCCGGGCCUUGUACACACCGCCCGUCACACCACGAAAGUCGGCAACACCCGAAGCCGGUGGCCUAACCCGCAAGGGAGGGAGCCGUCGAAGGUGGGGUCGAUGAUUGGGGUG